AUACAAAACUGUUCUCUUCUACUUUAAGGAAAACCCAAAAGUGACACUGUGGAUUUUCACUGUUCUAAGCUCCCCGUGACCUGUGGUGAGGCGAAAGGGAUUUUAUAUAAGAAGAAAAUGAAACACGGAUCCUCAGUGAAGUGCAUUCGGAAUGAGGAUGGAACUUGGUUAACACCAAAUGAAUUUGAAGUCGAAGGAAAAGGAAGAAAUGCAAAGAACUGGAAACGGAAUAUACGUUGUGAAGGAACGACCCUAGGAGAGCUGCUGAAGAGUGGACUUUUGCUCUGUCCUCCAAGAAUAAAUCUCAAGAGAGAGUUAAAUAGCAAGUGAAUUUCUACUACCCUCUCAGUCACCAUGUUGCAGACUUUCCCUGUCUGGAGGCUCACCUUAGAGCUUCUGAGUUUCCAAGCUCUGAGUCACCUCCACAUUUGGGCAUGGCAUCUUCAAAACAAUUAAUUUGCAUAGUUAAUUUGGGAUGGGGAAGCAAAUGACUCUAAAAUAAAAAUUAAA
This 510-nucleotide long non-coding RNA is filed under the name Pan troglodytes (chimpanzee). RNAcentral describes it as "long non-coding RNA NONPTRT011173". Lineage: Eukaryota; Metazoa; Chordata; Mammalia; Primates; Hominidae. The record is from RNAcentral.